RNAcentral lists this ribosomal RNA (490 nucleotides) under uncultured bacterium. Its description in RNAcentral is "partial 16S ribosomal RNA". It matches the Rfam family "Bacterial small subunit ribosomal RNA", at positions 30 to 507 of the family's 1533-position model. The record is from RNAcentral.
AUUGAACGCUGGCGGCAGGCCUAACACAUGCAAGUCGAACGGUAACAGGAAGCAGCUUGCUGCUUUGCUGACGAGUGGCGGACGGGUGAGUAAUGUCUGGGAAACUGCCUGAUGGAGGGGGAUAACUACUGGAAACGGUAGCUAAUACCGCAUAACGUCGCAAGACCAAAGAGGGGGACCUUCGGGCCUCUUGCCAUCGGAUGUUCCCAGAUGGGAUUAGCUAGUAGGUGGGGUAACGGCUCACCUAGGCGACGAUCCCUAGCUGGUCUGAGAGGAUGACCAGCCACACUAGAACUGAGACACGGUCCAGACUCCUACGGGAGGCAGCAGUGGGGAAUAUUGCACAAUGGGCGCAAGCCUGAUGCAGCCAUGCCGCGUGUAUGAAGAAGGCCUUCGGGUUGUAAAGUACUUUCAGCGGGGAGGAAGGGAGUAAAGUUAAUACCUUUGCUCAUUGACGUUACCCGCAGAAGAAGCACCGGCUAACUCCGUG